RNAcentral lists this ribosomal RNA (1372 nucleotides) under uncultured bacterium. Its description in RNAcentral is "bacterial SSU rRNA". It matches the Rfam family "Bacterial small subunit ribosomal RNA", at positions 28 to 1381 of the family's 1533-position model. The record is from RNAcentral.
GAUAAACGCUGGCGGCGUGCCUAAUACAUGCAAGUCGAGCGAACGGACGAGAAGCUUGCUUCUCUGAUGUUAGCGGCGGACGGGUGAGUAACACGUGGAUAACCUACCUAUAAGACUGGGAUAACUUCGGGAAACCGGAGCUAAUACCGGAUAAUAUUUUGAACCGCAUGGUUCAAAAGUGAAAGACGGUCUUGCUGUCACUUAUAGAUGGAUCCGCGCUGCAUUAGCUAGUUGGUAAGGUAACGGCUUACCAAGGCAACGAUGCAUAGCCGACCUGAGAGGGUGAUCGGCCACACUGGAACUGAGACACGGUCCAGACUCCUACGGGAGGCAGCAGUAGGGAAUCUUCCGCAAUGGGCGAAAGCCUGACGGAGCAACGCCGCGUGAGUGAUGAAGGUCUUCGGAUCGUAAAACUCUGUUAUUAGGGAAGAACAUAUGUGUAAGUAACUGUGCACAUCUUGACGGUACCUAAUCAGAAAGCCACGGCUAACUACGUGCCAGCAGCCGCGGUAAUACGUAGGUGGCAAGCGUUAUCCGGAAUUAUUGGGCGUAAAGCGCGCGUAGGCGGUUUUUUAAGUCUGAUGUGAAAGCCCACGGCUCAACCGUGGAGGGUCAUUGGAAACUGGAAAACUUGAGUGCAGAAGAGGAAAGUGGAAUUCCAUGUGUAGCGGUGAAAUGCGCAGAGAUAUGGAGGAACACCAGUGGCGAAGGCGACUUUCUGGUCUGUAACUGACGCUGAUGUGCGAAAGCGUGGGGAUCAAACAGGAUUAGAUACCCUGGUAGUCCACGCCGUAAACGAUGAGUGCUAAGUGUUAGGGGGUUUCCGCCCCUUAGUGCUGCAGCUAACGCAUUAAGCACUCCGCCUGGGGAGUACGACCGCAAGGUUGAAACUCAAAGGAAUUGACGGGGACCCGCACAAGCGGUGGAGCAUGUGGUUUAAUUCGAAGCAACGCGAAGAACCUUACCAAAUCUUGACAUCCUUUGACAACUCUAGAGAUAGAGCCUUCCCCUUCGGGGGACAAAGUGACAGGUGGUGCGUGGUUGUCGUCAGCUCGUGUCGUGAGAUGUUGGGUUAAGUCCCGCAACGAGCGCAACCCUUAAGCUUAGUUGCCAUCAUUAAGUUGGGCACUCUAAGUUGACUGCCGGUGACAAACCGGAGGAAGGUGGGGAUGACGUCAAAUCAUCAUGCCCCUUAUGAUUUGGGCUACACACGUGCUACAAUGGACAAUACAAAGGGCAGCGAAACCGCGAGGUCAAGCAAAUCCCAUAAAGUUGUUCUCAGUUCGGAUUGUAGUCUGCAACUCGACUACAUGAAGCUGGAAUCGCUAGUAAUCGUAGAUCAGCAUGCUACGGUGAAUACGUUCCCGGGUCU